AAACUGCGAUACGUAGUGUGAAUUGCAGAAUCCAGUGAAUCAUCGAGUCUUUGAACGCAAAUGGCGCUCUCGGUCAAGCCGGGAGCACGUCUGUCUGAGCGUCUGUU
This 107-nucleotide ribosomal RNA is filed under the name Axinella damicornis. RNAcentral describes it as "partial 5.8S ribosomal RNA". It matches the Rfam family "5.8S ribosomal RNA", at positions 50 to 154 of the family's 154-position model. From Rfam's summary of the family: 5.8S ribosomal RNA (5.8S rRNA) is a component of the large subunit of the eukaryotic ribosome. Lineage: Eukaryota; Metazoa; Porifera; Demospongiae; Axinellida; Axinellidae. The record is from RNAcentral.